This 427-nucleotide ribosomal RNA is filed under the name uncultured bacterium. Its description in RNAcentral is "partial 16S ribosomal RNA". It matches the Rfam family "Bacterial small subunit ribosomal RNA", at positions 355 to 773 of the family's 1533-position model. The record is from RNAcentral.
UGGGGAAUUUUGGACAAUGGGCGAAAGCCUGAUCCAGCAAUGCCGCGUGUGUGAAGAAGGCCUUCGGGUUGUAAAGCACUUUUGUCCGGAAAGAAAUCCUUGGCUCUAAUACAGUCGGGGGAGUGACGGUACCGGAAGAAUAAGCACCGGCUAACUACGUGCCAGCAGCCGCGGUAAUACGUAGGGUGCAAGCGUUAAUCGGAAUUACUGGGCGUAAAGCGUGCGCAGGCGGUUUGCUAAGACCGAUGUGAAAUCCCCGGGCUCAACCUGGGAACUGCAUUGGUGACUGGCAGGCUAGAGUAUGGCAGAGGGGGUGAGAAUUGCCACGUGUAGCAGUGAAAUGCGUAGAGAUGUGGAGGAAUACCGAUGGCGAAGGCAGCCCCUGGCCAAGUACUGACGCUCAUGCACGAAAGCGUGGGGAGCAAAC